Molecule: non-coding RNA, 154 nt
Organism: Acinetobacter radioresistens SK82
Lineage: Bacteria; Pseudomonadati; Pseudomonadota; Gammaproteobacteria; Moraxellales; Moraxellaceae
Source: Rfam
CAUCGCUUCAGGGCGGGGUGAAAUUCCCCACCGGUGGUAAAGUUGUUUCAAUAUAAAAUCAGCAAGCCCACGAGCGUAUUACCUAUUUAAAGUACUACGCAGAUUUGGUGCAAUUCCAAAGCCGACGGUAUAGUCCGGAUGAAAGAAGACGAGA